UACGGGGGGAGCAAGCGUUGUUCGGAUUUACUGGGCGUAAAGGGCGCGUAGGCGGUAGCACAAGUCAGUUGUGAAAUCUCCGGGCUUAACUCGGAAAGGUCAACUGAUACUGUGCGACUAGAGUGCAGAAGGGGCAACUGGAAUUCUCGGUGUAGCGGUGAAAUGCGUAGAUAUCGAGAGGAACACCUGCGGCGAAGGCGGGUUGCUGGGCUGACACUGACGCUGAGGCGCGAAAGCCAGGGGAGCGAACAGG
RNAcentral lists this ribosomal RNA (253 nucleotides) under uncultured bacterium. RNAcentral describes it as "partial 16S ribosomal RNA". It matches the Rfam family "Bacterial small subunit ribosomal RNA", at positions 524 to 776 of the family's 1533-position model. The record is from RNAcentral.